Paramacrobiotus metropolitanus is the source of this 537-nucleotide long non-coding RNA. RefSeq lists it as uncharacterized. The transcript is spliced from 3 exons. Lineage: Eukaryota; Metazoa; Tardigrada; Eutardigrada; Parachela; Macrobiotidae. The record is from RefSeq and is a predicted model, not a curated record.
CUACGGACUAUCAGUCAGCUAUACAAGGAGGUCUAUAUCCGCAAGGGAAGAUUCUGGACAACAUGGGAAGCGACUGCCUGUAUGUGUAUUCGCAUCGCAACAGUCUUGGUCAAGGAUCAUACGGACACGUCUACAGAGCCAGAAUCGUACAUCGCGGGAAUUAUACCGGUGAAGAGGAAGCGGCAGUCAAAGUCAUUGACGAAACAAAAGUGAAAAAUUUGAAAGUCAACAGCGAACGGUCCAGGGACAGAUGGGUGACACUGCUUAGCCUACAAUGUCCACAUCUGGUAGCGUUUCACAGAGUCAGUUUUUUCUCAACUAAUACUGGCUUUUCUGUGGAAAUCCUUAUGGAUCUUUGCGAAGGCGGCGACUUGGAGAGGCUGUUGUUCGGAGUAAAGGCCGAUCAUGCGCUUCUAGAUCAAGGGAGCGCAUUAUGUUAUGCACUGCAAAUCGUGACUGGUGUGGAAUUCUUACACGCGCGACACCUCAGGCACGGUGACUUGAAACCCGGCAACAUCUUCCUGAAACAUCAUGCUG